RNAcentral lists this transfer RNA (86 nucleotides) under Deltaproteobacteria bacterium. RNAcentral's name for it is "tRNA-Ser". The record is from RNAcentral. Lineage: Bacteria; Pseudomonadati; Myxococcota; Myxococcia.
GGCGGAAGAGGUGGCAAUUGGUAGCCACGCCCGUCUCGAAAACGGGAAGCCGCAACCGCGGCCGGGUUCGAUUCCUAUUUCCGCCG